Molecule: long non-coding RNA, 887 nt
Organism: Glycine soja
Lineage: Eukaryota; Viridiplantae; Streptophyta; Magnoliopsida; Fabales; Fabaceae
Exons: 3
Source: RefSeq, a predicted model, not a curated record
UCAUUUUUUGUUUUCGGGUUAAGAUACUUUUAGAUGUGGGUGACCCUGCAGGUGGAAUUUGCUUUUUUCUGUUCACACUGCAAUCGGGUUCUUUCUGUUCACACUGCAAAUGGGUCAAAUUUUUUUAUUUUUCUGAUUCUGGUUAGAGUAUUGUCAAGUCUCGAUAGUGGCUUGUUGAUUAUCAUUUUGAGUAAUAGGAUUUCAAAUUUACGUUUGGAGGGGAAGCUUGUGAUUUGUUGGUCAAUAAAAGGGAACGUGUGUGCAUUUGCAGACACACAAUUCCCUUCCUCAUCUCCCUAUUGCCACCUGAUUUGCGGAAAACAAGAUGGAUGUUGUUUAUGAUGAGUUCAUGAUCAUGAAGUUAAGCCAGGUUUGGCUAUAGGCUUAGCUUGGGUUUUGUGAUGUUGAGUGAGGAAAGGAGAGCUGAGAAACAGAGCGACAAUUUGGCAGAUUGGGUCCUUGCUGGCACUGCUAAUUGCUCAUUAAAAUAAACAAAUAGAGCUAAAAUCUUUGCAUGUACGAGGAAAGGAGAGCUGGGAGAUUCCAUGCCGAAACUCUGUUGAGAAGAGAAAGAUGAGCAACAACAACAAACAAGUAGGGUUGAGAGUGAAAAAAUAAGAGCUACCUGAUCACAAGCUCAAAGGUUGACACUCAAUAGCUACUGAACAUACUCUCCUCCUUAUAAGGAUAGUGUUUAGUCAGGUUAUUCAAAUACUUGAAUCAGAAGGACCUCAGAAGACGUAAUCUGUCAAAUAUAUUUAGUCUAAUAUUAUAGCAAGUGCAAGUGUAAAUGUGUAAUACAAUUUAGAUUAAUAGUCCUAUUUUUACUUUGACGGCAUGUACCAUUUUUCCUCCUAAACUAUAUCCAUUUGAGUCCUCUUCCUUGA